Long non-coding RNA from Rhododendron vialii, 741 nucleotides. RefSeq lists it as uncharacterized. The transcript has 2 exons. The record is from RefSeq and is a predicted model, not a curated record. Lineage: Eukaryota; Viridiplantae; Streptophyta; Magnoliopsida; Ericales; Ericaceae.
GAGAAAUUUUUCCAAUAUAGUAAUAGCAUUUGUUGAAAUCUUUGUGGUGGCGGCGGCCGCCACUUGUCCCCCAUUGACUCCAUCUCCAUUCAACUCUACAACUUCAACAAAAGCAGCUAAACGAAUGGAUUUUGUUUGCAUGAACGUCAAAAGACUCAAAACUAAUGAUUUCUGCGAUGUGCAAAUUACAUUGAUCCAGCUCAAACAGGAAUUUCGUACUCAAGGGUAGCACCUAACAACAGGACAGAUACUGUCCCACAGGACCCUUUUCCCCUCUUCAACCAUUAUGCCAUAUAAUCCAGCAAGACAUACUUUACAAAGUGGAAGAAGCCAACACGAUGAUAAUUCAUCACACACAUACAGCUACAAACUCAAUUGUGACCUGAACCCGUCAAAAGAACCCGUACACACGUACAAUACAACCCAAAAACGUUAUCAAAAUUGUUUCUCUUUUUAAAGAAGAUUAAACAGCAACACGAACACAAUUCAACGCCCAAGACCUGAAUUUUGGGCGAACAAAAUUUGAAAAACCAUAACCAAUAGAAUAUAAACAAAGGGCAACAUAUCAACUAGCAAAAAAUAAAUAAAUGGCCAACAGAUCUCUAAACACAUGAAUGAGCGCAAAAAAAAAUUGAUUUUUCAUUAUAAUCAAUCGAAUUCGGGAUACCAGGAGAAAACCCAAUUAUUCAUUAGCUUCCAAAUCCCAUAAACGUAAGCACGGAAAAAAAAAACAUUAAUAAA